RNAcentral lists this small nuclear RNA (107 nucleotides) under Pteropus vampyrus (large flying fox). The record is from RNAcentral. Lineage: Eukaryota; Metazoa; Chordata; Mammalia; Chiroptera; Pteropodidae.
GUACUCACUCUGGCAGCACAUAUACUAAAAUUGGAAUGAUACAGAGAAGAUUAGCAUGAUCCCUGUGCAAGGAUGACACGCAAAUUUGUGAAGCAUUCCAUAUUAAA